AGCAGUGAAAAUAAAAGAAAAUAAGAAUUCUAAUAAGCUUAAAAUAGUUAAAAUCCAAUUUAAAAUAAACAAUUCCCCUGCAACGGGGCCACAAACUUGAUGUGUUAUAAAAUAGCUUACGUAAGUGCGCGGGUCACUAGAGUAUAGAUUUAAAAAGAUCGUUCCCAUAGGUAAUUGUGCUUAAAUUGAAAUUAAAAAAAAUAAGCCAAUUAGAAUGCCAAAAUUCAAAGAUAUUGGAAUGAAAUUGAAAAUAAAAUUGAUAUUUGAGAAAUUUAAGUUAAAUCAAACAAUUAAUUAAACUAGAUGACUAAAACUUGGGCUGAAAUUACUAAUUACAAAUUUGGGAUGAUUUAAAUCUAACUUCAAUAAAAAUUAAAGUGAUUCU
RNAcentral lists this unclassified non-coding RNA (385 nucleotides) under Hevea brasiliensis (rubber tree). Lineage: Eukaryota; Viridiplantae; Streptophyta; Magnoliopsida; Malpighiales; Euphorbiaceae. The record is from RNAcentral.